ACAUUAUCCACACCAGUUCAUCCCACCAAGAGCUUGAACUACCGUUCUAAAAGAAAAACUAUCUGUAAGCAUAGGAGCCAAAGGAUAAGAGAAAUGGAUGGGAUACAGCAAGUAGCCUUACCCAUCCUUGGAAUUGUAGCAGCUGCUGCUGCUACCUUCUAUGCUGUAAGCUUUUCUGAGCUUAGAGAGAAAUCAUUUAAUGAUUUGGAGGACUCUGAGACUGAAAAUGGAGGAUUCAAGUAUGUGAGCUCAAGGGAGAGACGGGCAAGAAAAAAAGCAGAGAAACAAGUCAAAAGUUGAACACAGACAGCAAAGUUCUUGGCUGCUGCUGUGAGUAUUUUCUUCUUUUAUCACUUGGCGCGCGUUGUAACAGAUUCUACAGUUUAGUGUGUAAUAUGCUUUUUAUGGGUGUUAUAACCAUUAUGAUUUACCGUAAAAGUUUAUCGUUAUGCUUUAUUUAUUAGACUUUAAUUGUCGUUUUUUUUUAGAAGAUGAUUGUCGUAAUUUGCAAAGCACUUUCUUCUAAUCAAGAGUAAUUCUACCAUACCCUAUUAAUGUUGUUUUGAUUUUGACCCUUAAUUUAAUUUAAGGGAAUACUUAUUAUUGGUAAAGCAAGUCAUGUAUAUAAACAAAGAAAAACAAAUCACUUUUCUUUCUACGCUUCAUUCUGUAAGCUUUUUUUUUUUUUUUUUUUUUCCUUCUCAAAUUGAGGAUAUUUCCAUAAUUAUAAAGAUAUAUAAGUUUAUCGGUCUUUUAGAGGUUUUAGAAAUAGGGUCAUUCUACCAUAUCCACAAUUUUUUUAGGGAUAUGGUACCCACCUUCUGAACUAUUAAAUUAGUGUUGUUUUGAUCUUGACCCUUAAUUUAAUUUAAGGGAAUACUUGUUACUAAUAAAGCAGGCCAUGGAUAUAAACAAAGAAAAAAAAAUCAGUAUUCUUUGUACGCUUUAGAACUCUCUCUACGCUUCUAUCUGUAAACUUCUUCUCUCUCAACUUCUUUCUCUUCCAAACCAACUACAAGACCAGAGCCAUCACUACUAAACAAAAUCCUAAGCAAGACCCACAAUAGUUUUCAGUUUUUUUUGGAAACAUAUAGGUGAAAAAGUGUGUAGAAAUAAGUGUAAUAUUGUUUAAAAACUGAAAAUAUGUGUUUUAAAUAGUGGACCAAUCAGGGACAUAGUAUUUCAAUUCCAGCCGCUCUCUGCUUCGACAACCGUAUUAACCUAGACCGUUAAGGCCGUCAAAAAGGUCGAUUUGGAUUACAAGAGUUCAUUAAGAUUCUAAGUUUCAUUGAGGAUGUUGGGUUGAAUAUUCACCACAAUAUGAGUGGCGUUGGAUUAAUUAAGUUCUAUUAUUGCAGCUGGAUGGGAAGUAUGUCAUUUAUUCUUACACUGGGUGGAGUGAUGAAGAUUUUACCAUCGAAUCAUGAAGUACUUUGUUGUCUGUAAACCACCUAUUAAUGGGUGUUUUGAGGAAAGAGUUCCCAGAAUUGUUUGAAUCAAAUCACUUAAAAUGCAUUUGACAAAGUUUUAUACAAUUUGUUUUUCUACA
Quercus robur (English oak) is the source of this 1549-nucleotide RNA transcript. RefSeq lists it as uncharacterized. The transcript has 4 exons. The record is from RefSeq and is a predicted model, not a curated record. NCBI's taxonomy places the organism in Eukaryota, Viridiplantae, Streptophyta, Magnoliopsida, Fagales, Fagaceae.